AGGCACCUGGGGAGGGGUGGGAGCAGUACCCUGGUGCUCAAUAAGUGUGGGCAUUUUUAUGCUGGAACCCGCACAAGGGAGGUUUUUCUGUGUCUUCCUCCAAAAAGUGGGGAUUAUAUCUCUCUGAGCCAUCAGGACUGCUGGGAUAUGAGCUGUAGCCAACAUCCAGGAUUGCAAAUUGCACAGACACACUCCAAUCAUGGACAGCUGGAACACUGCAGGUCUAAACACUGAGAUGGCAGCAGACUGGAGAGCUGCAACAACUUCACUGGAGUGAGAAAAAUCUCUUCAGACUGCAGCAUUCUGGUGUCUGUGCUCCACUGCCACGUUCCUGCAGCCCAUGGCUCCUAUGCCAUAUGGCAAAACACUCUGUCCAGAGCUAUAAACCAUCCCAAUUACACUGAUUAACUCUAUGGAAAGACACCAGCACUUGGAACAUUUGCUGACGCUGCCUGGACAGAGCAGUAAGAAAAUAAUAAAUGACUAGACAAUUGGCUGGGGGGAGGAGAAAUCUGCAUGUUGUAUAUAGUUGGGAAUAGCACAGGGAGACCAAUAAAUUGUAUGAGAAUAUGGGAAUAA
This is a long non-coding RNA of Zonotrichia leucophrys gambelii, 579 nucleotides long. RefSeq lists it as uncharacterized. NCBI's taxonomy places the organism in Eukaryota, Metazoa, Chordata, Aves, Passeriformes, Passerellidae. The record is from RefSeq and is a predicted model, not a curated record. The transcript is spliced from 3 exons.